RNAcentral lists this ribosomal RNA (413 nucleotides) under Penicillium spinulosum. RNAcentral's name for it is "eukaryotic LSU rRNA". The stretch from base 41 to 194 matches the Rfam family "5.8S ribosomal RNA". The record is from RNAcentral. Lineage: Eukaryota; Fungi; Ascomycota; Eurotiomycetes; Eurotiales; Aspergillaceae.
GUCUGAAGAUUGCAGUCUGAGCAUAAACUAAAUAAGUUAAAACUUUCAACAACGGAUCUCUUGGUUCCGGCAUCGAUGAAGAACGCAGCGAAAUGCGAUAACUAAUGUGAAUUGCAGAAUUCAGUGAAUCAUCGAGUCUUUGAACGCACAUUGCGCCCCCUGGUAUUCCGGGGGGCAUGCCUGUCCGAGCGUCAUUGCUGCCCUCAAGCACGGCUUGUGUGUUGGGCUCCGUCCCCCCGGGGACGGGCCCGAAAGGCAGCGGCGGCACCGAGUCCGGUCCUCGAGCGUAUGGGGCUUUGUCACCCGCUCUGUAGGCCCGGCCGGCGCCAGCCGACAACCCAUCAUCCUUUUCAGGUUGACCUCGGAUCAGGUAGGGAUACCCGCUGAACUUAAGCAUAUCAAUAAGCGGAGGA